RNAcentral lists this ribosomal RNA (300 nucleotides) under uncultured bacterium. RNAcentral describes it as "bacterial SSU rRNA". It matches the Rfam family "Bacterial small subunit ribosomal RNA", at positions 1048 to 1348 of the family's 1533-position model. The record is from RNAcentral.
GCCGUUCGCAACCCCGUUCUUGGAAAUUUGGGUUAAAUUCCCUAACGGGGCCAACCCUUUUUCUUUUUUUCCCGCCGGUAAGGGUGGGCACUCUAAGGAGACUGCCGGUGACAAACCGGAGGAAGGUGGGGAUGACGUCAAGUCAUCAUGGCCCUUACGGCCAGGGCUACACACGUGCUACAAUGGUCGGUACAAAGGGUUGCCAACCCGCGAGGUGGAGCUAAUCCCAUAAAACCGAUCGUAGUCCGGAUCGCAGUCUGCAACUCGACUGCGGAAGUCGGAAUCGCUAGUAAUCGGUCA